CCCGGUGCAGCUACCAGACUCCAGGCUGGUCCUCGGGAAUGUCUGCAAAGGAUCCAGUGAUACGACCUGUCUUCAAGUCUCCCAGCAAUUCCCUGCUCUCCUUCUUCUCUCCCUGUGUACUACCCAUUGCCAGAUGUAUUGAAGAAACAAACGUGUGGAUGGAAUGGUGACUUUGGGAAGAUGCUUGCAUUCUUUCAGCUGUAGAGAAUAUGUGGAAGGCACUGACUCCAGCAGCUCUCUGCAUUGCCAUGGGACUUAUGAAAGGACAGAACAUUGGAUUUCCUGCCUAGAAGCCCAGAAUGUCAGCUUAUCCUGUGGGGAGCAGUUAUUGCAGAUGAAGGUGGCUUAUAGGGAAGAUGAAUUGGCAAUGAAUAGGUGGGAGUGGACAGCAUAAACCCUUCAGGCUCAACUGAAUUUGGAAAGAAGAGAACAUUUAGAAAAUUUGUUGUAAGGCUUUUCUGACAACUAGAUUUGUAAAAAAAAAGAUAAGCUUUAGUGUUCUUAAUGGCACUUUUGGGGCAAAUGCAGAAAUCUUCAUCCAUGUCCCUAAACUCCUGUGGCUGCUGUAGGGCUCCUUCUACUUGUAAACUCUACUAGCUCUUUCCUGGAUCCUCCUUUUCUUCUGGUACCACCCAUUUUUCCUUGGCAUAUUUCUGCUCUCAUUGCUUAGGGCCCCUUCAAAAAUGUGUGUUGACGUUGAUUAUCUUUUGGGACCAGUGCCUUAAGUUUCCUUUCUUCCCUUUUGUCUAUAACCCUCGUUCGGUGAUCCCUGAGGAAGGUUAUGGCUUUAAUGGUUGUUUUCCAGAAUUUCCCUUUUCUACUCUCACAAAUUUAAAAUGCAGUUAUGUUAAGAAGAACUAAUAAUCAACAAAAGCAAGGGAUAAUUAUAAACACAGUGUGGCACUUACACUAUCAAUAAAAACAUGGGCAUUCUGACAUUCUAAGCUCUCUUUGC
RNAcentral lists this long non-coding RNA (955 nucleotides) under Homo sapiens (human). Its description in RNAcentral is "HSALNT0019595". Lineage: Eukaryota; Metazoa; Chordata; Mammalia; Primates; Hominidae. The record is from RNAcentral.